UACGGCCACAUCACGUUGAAACAUCAGUUUCCGUACGAUCACCGAAGUUAAACAACGUCGUACCUCAUCAGUACCUCGAUGGGUGACCGCUCGGGAAUACCAGCUGCUGUAAG
This is a non-coding RNA of Acanthosepion pharaonis, 113 nucleotides long. NCBI's taxonomy places the organism in Eukaryota, Metazoa, Mollusca, Cephalopoda, Sepiida, Sepiidae. The record is from the annotation of a GenBank genome assembly.